This is a long non-coding RNA of Candoia aspera, 3854 nucleotides long. RefSeq lists it as uncharacterized. The transcript has 5 exons. The record is from RefSeq and is a predicted model, not a curated record. NCBI's taxonomy places the organism in Eukaryota, Metazoa, Chordata, Lepidosauria, Squamata, Candoiidae.
UACAGAGAGGUUAAUAAUUUGAGCUCCAUACCAUUAUAACUUUUAGAUCCUUCUUCAUCAAUACAUUAAACAGGAAAAAGAUUUUUCUCUCUUGCUGUUGGGAAGUGAAUUACAUUGAGAUCUUUGGCACAUAUAUGCUAAUGGCUGUGGAAGUGCUGGCUCUGUCCUAAGCCGAUAUUCCUCUGGGGUCUCUUCCAAAGGCUGGAGUUUUCCUCACUGCCGCUGCAAUGGUGGCAUUUCCUUGCAGCCAGGCUGGGCUCCUAACAUGGAUGUUGCUGCUGCCACUGCUGCUGUUGUCCUCAUCUGAAGUUCAAAACAAGGACAAGCCCAGCUGGUGAAGGGGAACAGGCAUGUACAGACAGCUGGGAACAGCUCACAAAGCAGCUGUACACUGCACAGCAACUCUUUGAAGGAUUUACACAGCCCUAUAAUGGAGAUAGGGGAUGCGGUGGCGCUGCGGGUUAAACCGCUGAGCUUGCCGAUCGGAAGGUCGGCAGUUCGAAUCCGCAUGACGGGGUGAGCUCCCAUUGCUAGUCCCAGCUCCUGCCAACCAAGCAGUUCGAAAACAUGCAAAUGUGAGUAGAUUGAUAGGUACCGCUUCAACGGGCAGGUAACGGCGUCCGUUUAGUCAUGCCGGCCACAUGACCACGGAAGUUGUUGAGGUUUUCCUACUAACGAUUAAGACUGCUAUUGUACCUAAUCAUUUUGGCCGGGUGAAGAGGUUGUAUUUGAUUGUCUCCUUUCACGUGCUUCAUGCAAAUCGCCUGGGGAGAGGAUCCUGCCCAGACUUGUUUCUUACUUCCUCUUUUUCUCUCUGCUGAUAUGUAGCAAGCCAGGAGAGCUAAGUCCUUUAAAUAUGUUUUGCUUUUUGUAAAUAAAUUAUUUUUAUAGAUAUGCCUGGUGUGUGUGACUUUUCUGAUCUCUCCUGGGCUAAAGGCUUUCCCAGCAUUCUGCCAACAGAAGUGUCUACGGACAAACGCCGGCUCUUCGGCUUUGAAACAGAGAUGAGCACCACCCCCUAGAGUCAGACACAACUGGACUUAAUGUCAAGGGAAACCUUUACCUUUACCUACAAUGGAGAUGGAGAGAGAUAAUGCUAUUUCAUUUGCAGACCUACGAUUAGACUAGGAAGUCAUUCCCAUCCAAGAUGGGAGAGUGGAAGAUGUGUUUCAAGCUUCGUAUCCGUAUAACAGUCGCAUAUCAUUUCGGUGCAAUUCUGGCUACACUUUGGUAGGGGCUGCUUUUGUUAAAUGUGAUGCUGAUAGUACAUGGAAUCCUCCUGUUCCAAGCUGUGUUGAACGUGUAGCCCCCACCCCUACCAAACCAGCCAGACCCCCCACACCUGCUGUUCCUCCUACCCCCCCAAUUCCCCCUAUGCCUGGCACUGUUCCUCCAGAAGACGAUGAGGCUAAAGGUGAGUCAUAACGUGAUUGGACAGCUAACCGCAGCCCCGUUUCAGGGUUCAGGGGAUUUGGCCUUGAAGGAAAGACGCUGGUGCCCUGCAGCCACGUCCACGUUUUCUAACUGCUUUCCGUCCUUUUCUUCUAGUGCAGCUUUCGUACAGAAUGGCUUGCAGCUGUGAGGUUGUGGGUCCAUGAGGAAUAGCUUUCAUUUCCUUUAACAACAGACUAUCAUGUGGUAUUUCUUUGCAUUUUGAAAGAGGUAUGACAUGAGUUGAUGUCUGAGGAAUGCAGAUGUAAAUCUCCCUUUUGCCCGUGGAACAAAUAUGGCCCCCUGCGAAACACUGAGUGUAACGAAAUUAUCCCGCAGCGCUAUUGAAUCCAGUUUACUAUCACCAUGGUUGUAAGUGCAGUGUGCAAUUUUUAAAAGAGAAGUUCUUGGUUCAUGCAUCUUUUUUCUAGAUUUAGAUGGUAUGGGAUUUAAAAAUACUCAUUUUGUGAUAUCAUUUGCACUAGUGCAGAAAGGCACUAGUCUGACUAGAAAAUUUAAGUAUAUCCCAAAUAAUUCUUAUUUAAGAAAGCAAGUUCUUCUUGCUUGAGGUUUGUGAAAAACUUUGAAAGUUUUUAGGGAGUAUCUGCGGAAAUGUUGGGAGUCAAAUAGAAUCCUUGAAAGAAUUUCUGGUGAAGAACCCUUUAAUGAGAUACAUUUUUGAGUAUACAUGUAUGAUAUCCAGAAAUAGGAAUAGUUUAUGUUAAAGUGAAUAUAUGUGUCUUUUACAAUGUGCAUAACAGAUACUGAAUGAUAUUCUCAGUCUGUGGGCAUGCCUAGAGUGAGCCAAUACUAUUUAGAGCAGAUAUCUCAGGUAACCACAUAGGAUUUUAUAACCAGCAGCUUUUAUAUCUUGUAUAGAUGUUGACAAAUCCUGAAUGUUACCCAGAGGUACAAAUGGGUUAACCAAUCCCUGCCUCCUACAAUGUACUCCACCUCCUAAAGCCCAAAUUCUAAGAGUGUUUCUCAAAGUUAAGUACAAGAGGAAUGGAAAUUGGAGAAGAGCAAAUAUAAAUCUUUAUUUUGGCAAUGGAACAAGCACAAAUUCGAGAUACUUCUGAGAUACAGGCUCAGCUAAUUUGAGCCAGGAAUAUGACAUUCCUUACCUUAUGACAAAUAAAAGACAUUUUAUUUGUUUGUUUCUUUAUAAUUUCAAUUUAUAUGGCUGCCCCAAUUCAAAAAUGUUCCACUGUUUAGUUAGAGUUGUGCACUAUGUUGUCUUUCUAAGUGAUCAAAUAUUAUUUCCUUUUUUAAACAGAAAAGCCCCUUGAAGAUCGGUUGGAUAAGAUUGAAAAAACACUGGAUUUAAUUCUGCAGAAACUCAUCCUGCAACUAAUGGGAUAGAGAGUUGGCUAAUGAUGGUUGCCACAGAACAUUAUUUCUUUAAUAUUCUCUAAAUGUAGGCUUAGAUAUGUAAUCCAGGGGGUUGCAAUGAGAUUGGGAAAAUGAUCACCCUUUAAAAAAAAUGUUAGCACAGAAGACAAAAUAAACCUAGCACAUAUACCAAAUUGCUUAAACUAAUAUUCAUGCCAGAUUCACAAAUAAACCAUCAUCUUAUCAACGUAGAUCUUUACUGCAGGCUAGAGGAAACCAUGCAAAAUAAUUGAUUGCCCACUGCUAGUGAGAAUGCACAAAUUACUUUUAAUAUCCACUGUAUUUUAACUCAUUUUUUUCCUUUUGCCCUUCCAUGAAUAGAUAGAGCCUUUAUGCAAUGUUUGGUAACUUUGAGACCAAGCGGUUACAGAUAGUCCUCGUGUAAUGACGGAAAUUGGUUCCAGCAAAAUGGCUGCUGAGUGAAGCACAUGACUGAGAGAGACACUCUGAAGAUCGCUGGUUGCUGCCAUCUUAUUCAGAUAAAGUUGUCUUGUACAGUGUCCUGUGCCUGACCCAUUUCCCCCCCCCCCCAUUUUUGCCCUUUUGCAGGUGGAGAGAUUGCCUAAACAAGCUAUCUCUUCCUGCACUGCUUUUCUCUGCAGUGCAGCAGGUCCCUAAAAAGUGCUAACCGCAAGUUAACAAGCUCUGUGACCUUAAUUAGUUGAUUAGAACCCUCCUGAACUGCUUCCUGAAAACUGACCAGACCUUAACUGGUUUCACACCAAAGUCUUUUGUUGUCAUAAAUAUGUGCAUUGGUUGGCAAAUGAAUUUUUGUUUCCAUUUAUUACCAUCAUAUUGUGGUGGACUUUGGCAGUGCCGCUGGUUCUCAGGAAGAAGGGAACACAUUCCAAGGAGGUGGAGGAGAUAAGCGGAGGCACAGCCCAGGAGGCAAUGGUGGGCAAACGAAGAGGUCCAGAACAGCCCCGCCCUAGAGCCUUCCCAGGUUAUUUCCCCUUAGGUUAGGUAGAGUAGCUUUUGUCUGGCAAGAUUCUGUCUAUACAGUAUAAGCAAAUAAAGAACCAAAGUCUGAA